Molecule: ribosomal RNA, 253 nt
Filed under: uncultured bacterium
Lineage: Bacteria
Description: partial 16S ribosomal RNA
Rfam family: Bacterial small subunit ribosomal RNA
Source: RNAcentral
UACGUAGGGUGCGAGCGUUAAUCGGAAUUACUGGGCGUAAAGCGUGCGCAGGCGGUUUUGUAAGCCAGAUGUGAAAGCCCCGGGCUUAACCUGGGAAUGGCAUUUGGGACUGCAAGGCUUGAGUGCGGCAGAGGAGACUGGAAUUCCUGGUGUAGCAGUGAAAUGCGUAGAUAUCAGGAGGAAUACCCGUGGCGAAGGCGGCUCUCUGGGACGGUACUGACGCUGAGACGCGAAAGCGUGGGGAGCGAACAGG